AAUUUCAACAGCAAUGCAUGCUGUUAUUUUUUAAUCUAAUAAUCAUGGUCUCACCUAUAUAUAUUAACAAACAUUGGUAUUAAUAACCAAUUAAUUAGUCAUUAAAUAAAAAAUGAUCCAGCAAGUUUCUCCUGUGGUCUAAUGGUAAUUAAACUGCGUAUAUAAUAUAAUAAUUUAAACAAUAAUUUAUUUAUUUACGAAGUCAUUCCUUGGAUGGUGCAUUCAGCCCAAACAGGUCAAACCAAAUCCUUUAUUUCUAACAUGAAUACGGAAUGUACCACUUCUAUUGAUCACUGUGCCAAUGACACACAUGAAUAUAACAAUUGGACAUAUUCACAGCACCUUUCUGCGCCGGUCUAUUAGAGCUACCACCGGUAUGUUCAACUUCUAGAAUCAUACUUACCGCUACACUAGCUGAUUGAAUGUCCUAUAAUCUUAUUAAAAAAAAGCUCACUUCAUUACAACCACUCCUGCUAACUUUACCUAUGUCAUCGUCCCUCUCCCCCCUGACAUGUGAUGGGUUUUGGGGGGGUCCAGUGGGAGGACGAGGGAGGAAGCCUCCGUCUGCGUGUGAGGAGUGAGGGUGUGAACAAAUGGAGACAGGCAGAGGAGGAGGAGGCCCUAGAGAGGGGAGGUAGGUGGAAGGGGGAGGGAACAAGGGAGACAGGCCUAGCGGCGCAGUGGGAGGAGGACUAUCCCAUGCCAGGACUUGUGGCGGCUGCAGCGGCAGCACCGACUGGAGGAAGUGUGCUCGGGGAGGGGGGGCGCUGAGCUGAGCAGAGCAGAAGCAGAAGCAGUUCAGGAACCGAGCAAGGGCUUCAACUUUAUCCCCGGCAGCCACAGCAGAAGGCCGAGGAGAGCAAAUUCCAGGAGAGGAAAAUGAGCCUCCCAGCCUGCACUAAGCCUGUAUGACAGGCUGAGGGCUCUUUGAUCAGGACUUUACCCGACUCGUCCUCUGUCUGCAGCUCCGACUGACAAAGGGGACACAGAGUAGAACCCCCCAAAAGAAGGGAAAGAAGAAGAAUCAAAGUACUCGCCUUCAGUUUGAAAAGGAAGUCCCGAGAUUCAGCAAUGGAGGAGGGAUACGAACUCGACCUGACGUACAUCACGGAGCGCAUCAUCGCCGUGUCCUUCCCCCGGGGGUGCACGGAAGAGAUCUACUCCCACAACCUGAAGGAUGUCACGCGAAUGCUCAAGUCCAAGCAUGCAGACAAUUACCUGAUUAUCAACCUGUCGGAGAAAAGACACGAUCUCACUAAAAUGAACCCGAAGGUGAGUUCACAUUUACUGUGUCAUCUGUAAAAUACAGUUUAUAAUAUCCUAGCAGGAUGAGUAUAUCAAUAUCCAUCAGCUUGGAAAAGAACCGGUACAAUUCAUUUCAAUGGCAGAA
Molecule: RNA transcript, 1390 nt
Organism: Anarrhichthys ocellatus (wolf-eel)
Lineage: Eukaryota; Metazoa; Chordata; Actinopteri; Perciformes; Anarhichadidae
Gene name: tensin-3-like
Exons: 3
Source: RefSeq, a predicted model, not a curated record